Molecule: ribosomal RNA, 484 nt
Filed under: uncultured bacterium
Lineage: Bacteria
Description: partial 16S ribosomal RNA
Rfam family: Bacterial small subunit ribosomal RNA
Source: RNAcentral
AGUGAACGCUGGCGGCGUGCUUAACACAUGCAAGUCGAACGAGAACGGAUUAUAGCUUGCUAUAAUUGUCAGCUAAGUGGCGCACGGGUGAGUAAUGUAUAGGUAAUAUGCCUCUUACUAAGGGAUAACAAAUGGAAACGUUUGCUAAUACCUUAUACUCCUUAUUAACAGAAGUUAAUAAGGGAAAGAUUUAUUGGUAAGAGAUUAGCCUGUAUUGUAUCAGUUAGUUGGUGGGGUAAUGGCUUACCAAGACUAUGACAACUAACUGGUUUGAGAGGAUGAUCAGUCACACUGGAACUGAGACACGGUCCAGACUCCUACGGGAGGCAGCAGUGGGGAAUAUUGCACAAGGGACGAAAGCUUGAUGCAGCAACGCCGCGUGGAGGAUGACACAUUUCGGUGCGUAAACUCCUUUUAUAUGAGAAGAUAAUGACGGUAUUAUAUGAAUAAGCACCGGCUAACUCCGUGCCAGCCGCCGCGGUAA